GCGUUGUGUAGGGAUGCACAAUCAGGCCCGGUGUUAAGGUCUCGCCAUGGCCUCCAUGGACAAUGCACGGUUCCUUUUUUUCGAUACAAAGCCAUUCACGUUAGUGCAUAGAUGUACAUACAAAAUUGAUUGAUUACGAGAUGAUGAUGAGGAGCAAAUUCUUGAUUUAUUUCCCGAAUUGUAUUUGACCAUUCGGUGCCGCAUCUUGUAGCCGCCGAUCGGUAGCAGCGCCAUGACCGCACAGGGAGGGUGAAGCCGUGCUGGGUCGGGAGCCGUCACGCGCGCUCCGGACAGGUG
Molecule: long non-coding RNA, 297 nt
Filed under: Hordeum vulgare
Lineage: Eukaryota; Viridiplantae; Streptophyta; Magnoliopsida; Poales; Poaceae
Description: long non-coding RNA (HVUL_LNC015369)
Source: RNAcentral